UACGUAGGGUGCAAGCGUUGCCCGGAUUUAUUGGGCGUAAAGGGCGCGUAGGCGGCUCGGCACGUCCGUUGUGAAAUCGCCCGGCUCAACUGGGCGGGGUCAGCGGAUACGGUCGAGCUUGAGCAAGCUAGGGGGCAAUGGAAUUCCCGGUGUAGUGGUGGAAUGCGUAGAUAUCGGGAGGAACACCAGUGGCGAAGGCGGUUGCCUGGAGCUUUGCUGACGCUGAGGCGCGAAAGCGUGGGGAGCGAUCCGG
Molecule: ribosomal RNA, 253 nt
Filed under: uncultured bacterium
Lineage: Bacteria
Description: partial 16S ribosomal RNA
Rfam family: Bacterial small subunit ribosomal RNA
Source: RNAcentral